This 474-nucleotide ribosomal RNA is filed under the name uncultured bacterium. RNAcentral describes it as "partial 16S ribosomal RNA". It matches the Rfam family "Bacterial small subunit ribosomal RNA", at positions 28 to 507 of the family's 1533-position model. The record is from RNAcentral.
GACGAACGCUGGCGGCGUGCUUAACACAUGCAAGUCGAGCGGUAAGGCUCCUUCGGGAGUACACGAGCGGCGAACGGGUGAGUAACACGUGAGUAAUCUGCCCUUCACUUCGGGAUAACCACCGGAAACGGUGGCUAAUACCGAAUACGACCAGUCUUCGCAUGAGGUGCUGGUGGAAAGUCUUUUCGGUGAAGGAUGUGCUCGCGGCCUAUCAGCUUGUUGGUGGGGUAAUGGCCUACCAAGGCUUCGACGGGUAGCCGGCCUGAGAGGGUGACCGGCCACAAUGGGACUGAGACACGGCCCAGACUCCUACGGGAGGCAGCAGUGGGGAAUAUUGGACAAUGGGCGAAAGCCUGAUCCAGCAACGCCGCGUGAGGGAUGACGGCCUUCGGGUUGUAAACCUCUUUCAGUACCGACGAAGCGCCCUGUCGGGUGGUGACGGUAGGUACAGAAGAAGGACCGGCCAACUACGUG